This 1029-nucleotide unclassified non-coding RNA is filed under the name Hevea brasiliensis (rubber tree). Lineage: Eukaryota; Viridiplantae; Streptophyta; Magnoliopsida; Malpighiales; Euphorbiaceae. The record is from RNAcentral.
AGCAAAUAGGUUUAUGUGUGUUGAAGAAUGGCGAAGCCUCGAAAAGGGAAGAUUGAAGAACAGAAAGGGGAUAAUUCUGAAGCAGUCGUUCGUCAUCAGAAACUAUGUCUCUCAAUUGACAUGGACAAGCGUCGAAUUUACGGUUACACAGAGCUUGAUGUAAUUGUACCAGAAAAUGGAAUUUUGGGCUUGCACGCGGAUAAUUUGGUGAUAGACAGUGUUACAGUUGAUGGGGAGCCUACAGAAUUUGAAGUUUUCCCGCACUAUUUAGCAUUAGAAAAUGGGGAUAGAUGGUGCGCUGUAUCAUCAGCUACUUCAGCUGCUGAUGCGGCUGGUUCAGUUUACUUGUCACAUCUAGAUAGAGAAUUGCUGUCAAAUUUGCUGAUCAUGUGCAAAAAACCCGCGGAGCAUGAUAUUGAAAGACAGGAAAUGCAUUUAGAGAAUGGACUGAACUCUUCAGCUGAAAACAAUCAGGUUAUGUUGGAUGCAGAAUGUUAAGAAGGUCCGUAUUGAUUAUUGGGUAGAGAAAGCCGAAACUGGAAUCCACUUUGAUGGUGAUGUUUUACAUACUGACAGCCAAAUUCGGCGUGCACGAUGUUGGUUCCCCUGCAUGGAUGACAAUUUACAAUGUUGCUGCUAUGAUUUGGAAUUCACAGUGGCCAGUAAUCUUGUGGCUGUUAGUACUGGAAGCUUACUUUAUCAGAUCUGGACCAAGGAUGUUCCUGCACGUAAAACUUUUGUCUACAGACUAAGUACUCCUGUUAAUGCAAGAUGGAUAUCAUUGGCAGUCGCACCAUUUGAAAUUCUUCCCGACUCCACUAUUACUUAUCUCUCACAUAUUUGUCUACCUGCUGACUUAACAAAGCUGCGGCAUACUGUAGGAUUUUUUCACAGUGCUUUUAGCUUCUAUGAGGACUACCUUUCUGCAUCAUUUCCAUUCGGGUCAUACACACAAGUUUUUAUUCCUCCUGAGAUAGCAAUAUCCUCAGCGAGUAUAGGAGCCGCCUUGAGCAUCUUCAGCUCUCAAUU